AUGCUGCUUGCUGCAGGUGUUGAGAACAGGGUAGAUGAAGAGAACCUGCCCUUAGAAGGGGAAGAUGGUAACCAGCUGCUUUCCUUCACCAGAAGGGAUGGAGAUGCUGAGGAGGCUGCUUGUGGCAAUCCCUUCUAUGGACUAAGUGGGAAGAUUAUUGGAAUCAGUAAUCCUGAAACAAGUUGAAAGACUGCAUCGACUUCUCUUGUAAGACUCCAAAAUGAAAGGGUUGAGAGUGACAUCCCUGAGGUCUCAGUAGCUGAGCUCUUUAAUGUGGGUAUCUGAAUCCAUCUUAUUUGGGUCUUAGGGCAAGUUUUGGGGUCACCCUCAGCCUGAUGUGCCCUAAUUACCACUUCUGCUUUGCCAUGUGGCAGGUUCUAUGCCAGGGAUGGAGGCUUGUUGUAUUGGGGUGCAGUUGUGGCCAUGUGCAGACCUAGCUGCCAGGGCAGCUGCACAGCUC
Molecule: long non-coding RNA, 460 nt
Filed under: Anas platyrhynchos platyrhynchos (common mallard)
Lineage: Eukaryota; Metazoa; Chordata; Aves; Anseriformes; Anatidae
Description: lncRNA (ENSAPLG00000025307.1)
Source: RNAcentral